AUUUGUUCACUUUGCCACUGUAGAACAUUGGAAUUCAAAUCCAAAGGUCGUGGGUUCGAAUCCUACCUGGGAUG
This is a non-coding RNA of Trichonephila clavata, 74 nucleotides long. NCBI's taxonomy places the organism in Eukaryota, Metazoa, Arthropoda, Arachnida, Araneae, Nephilidae. The record is from the annotation of a GenBank genome assembly.